RNAcentral lists this ribosomal RNA (484 nucleotides) under uncultured bacterium. Its description in RNAcentral is "partial 16S ribosomal RNA". It matches the Rfam family "Bacterial small subunit ribosomal RNA", at positions 30 to 507 of the family's 1533-position model. The record is from RNAcentral.
AUUGAACGCUGGCGGCAGGCCUAACACAUGCAAGUCGAGCGGCAGAAGGGAGCUUGCCCCUGGAUUCAGCGUCGGACGGGUGAGUAAUGCCUAUGAAUCUGCCUGGUAGUGGGGGAGAACGUCCGGCAACGGGCGCUAAUACCGCAUACGUGCUGAGGGGGAGAGAGGGGGAGACUCGGACCUCACGCUAUCAGAUGAGCCUAGGUCGGAUUAGCUAGUUGGUGGGGUAAAGGCCUACCAAGGCGACGAUCCGUAACUGGUCUGAGAGGAUGAUCAGUCACACUGGAACUGAGACACGGUCCAGACUCCUACGGGAGGCAGCAGUGGGGAAUAUUGGGCAAUGGGCGAAAGCCUGAUCCAGCCAUGCCGCGUGUGUGAAGAAGGUCUUCGGAUUGUAAAGCACUUUAAGUUGGGAGGAAGGGCAGUAAGUUAAUACCUUGCUGUGUUGACGUUACCAACAGAAUAAGCACCGGCUAACUUCGUG